This 338-nucleotide long non-coding RNA is filed under the name Trifolium pratense (red clover). Its description in RNAcentral is "long non-coding RNA (TPRA_LNC011663)". The record is from RNAcentral. Lineage: Eukaryota; Viridiplantae; Streptophyta; Magnoliopsida; Fabales; Fabaceae.
AUUUUGUUGAGCAUAAAUUAAAUUGAUAUGUGCACUUCAAUUUGUGUAAAAUGGAUUUGUAAUGUGGGGGCUUAUUUCAUAUAAAGAAAUCGGAGCACAACAUAAUUAUAAGUGUAACAAUGCUAUUCUCCUUGAAAUCAUCGACAAGAGGUCUGGUACAUAUUCAAACUUUUAAGUUUUGCAAAUUCUGAAUUUUAUGUUGAGUUUGUGAUUGUGUCGAAUUUGUACAUCAAGCCAAAGACGUAGUAGUGAUUUUAAUUAUAGUUUAAUUGAAAAAGAUAAACUUAAUUUUUCUCUUAGAUAUAUGGGAAUAUUGCGUUUAUCAAAAUUGUUUUGAG